RNAcentral lists this long non-coding RNA (275 nucleotides) under Elaeis guineensis (African oil palm). RNAcentral describes it as "long non-coding RNA (EGUI_LNC068120)". Lineage: Eukaryota; Viridiplantae; Streptophyta; Magnoliopsida; Arecales; Arecaceae. The record is from RNAcentral.
CGAGGUUGAUAGAUCCCAUCUUGGUGUGAUCUGGUUCCUACAAUGAAUAUGCUACAGCCAACAUACACCUCAGGGUUUUGAAUGGCUAGAAGAUCGAGUUAUGGUGUAGUCAAACUAUAACACACUAAAGAUAAACUGUCGAUGUACCUCAGAUCAAAGAACUAGACACACAGCUGCAGUAUCGAGUUAGUCAUCGAUGAGAAGGUAGACUUCCUUAUGACUGCUCGAGGUGGUCACGCUCAGUACUCUCGUUCUCAACGAAUAUCUAUACUCUC